RNAcentral lists this long non-coding RNA (411 nucleotides) under Felis catus (domestic cat). RNAcentral's name for it is "lncRNA (ENSFCAG00000044345.2)". The record is from RNAcentral. Lineage: Eukaryota; Metazoa; Chordata; Mammalia; Carnivora; Felidae.
AUAUUUAUUUAUUUAUUUAUUUAGAGAGAAAGAAUCUCAAGCAGGCUCCAAGCUCAUCACAGAGCCCGACGUGGGGCUUGAUACAACUCUGGGAUCAUGACCUGAGAUGAAUCUAAGAGUUGGACGCUCAACUGACUGAACCACCCAGGCACCCAAUAAUAGGAAAUUUAUAGCAAUGAGUGCCGGUUAACCACAAGUGUGAUAUGCUUAACGUUGUUACAGAGCUGGCCUCACCCUCCAUGCACUGCGGAGUCUGGACAUACAGGUUUUCUUCUUUUCCUAGAGCUUUGGCAAAAUGUUCCUGAGAGUGUUUUAGUAAAAUAUGAAGAAAGAGUUAAAUUCUUAGAGUGCUCUGUUAAUUUAGUUUUGUUAGCUCAUCACAUGUCUGUAGUUGCCAUAUCUCGUCUUUAA